GUAUUGCGUGAWGGAUCCCUGCUUGGGCAGCGACAUCAUAUCAUCCACGCCUCUUCAUUUGUUGGCACGAGCAUGUGCUCGGCCGGUGUUGGUUUUCCUGUGCUUGAUACCCGUAUUGCGGCAUCGAAAGUCGGUUAAAWUGUCCCAAAGCCCCCUCGUGCUGCUGCUCCUCGUGGGCAAGCGGCGUGGGGCGGCCCAUGCAGCGCAUGCCGUGUGUCCCAUCCCGUUGGCCCCGUAAGAAGGGCGUUCGGGCUGACGAUCCGCGGCAUGACGCUCGGUCCCUUGGGUACGGAACGUUGUGUGGGGUACGGGGCCGUCGGCCUCGGAGCACCACAAAAAAGCAUUCUAUGCUUCGUGCGAACGACCGUUGGCCCGGUCUCUGGCUGGCCCUCGUGGCUKGGCUUAGGACCGUGCUGGCGUCGGUGAGGAAUGCUACCU
Molecule: unclassified non-coding RNA, 438 nt
Filed under: Blephilia hirsuta
Lineage: Eukaryota; Viridiplantae; Streptophyta; Magnoliopsida; Lamiales; Lamiaceae
Description: partial external transcribed spacer
Source: RNAcentral